UCUUAGUUGGUGGAGCAAUUUAUCUGGUUAAUUCCGAUGACGGACGAGAAUCUAGUCUAUUAAAUAGGUGCGUGGUUCUCUGCACCUUGCACCCUUCUCAGGGGGACAAGCGGCUCCUAGCCACACGAAACAGAGCAAUAACAGGUCUGUGAUGCCCUUAGAUGUCCGGGACGCACGCGCGCUACAAUGAAGGAAGCAGCGUGUUUUUAUCCCUGUCUGGUAAGACAGUAAGCUUAGGAAAAAGAGGCUUGAGCAAAUACAGAGGGCUAAUUGAAGUCCAUCGGAUUACCCCGCAG
This is a non-coding RNA of Ixodes scapularis (black-legged tick), 296 nucleotides long. The record is from Rfam. NCBI's taxonomy places the organism in Eukaryota, Metazoa, Arthropoda, Arachnida, Ixodida, Ixodidae.